GCUUCCCUAGCUCAGUUGGUUAGAGUACCAGUCUCAUAGGUAAUGAGGAAUCAGUGGAUUCUGUAAUCUGGGGGUCGUGAGUUCGAUCCUCACGGGGAGCA
Mycena epipterygia is the source of this 101-nucleotide non-coding RNA. Lineage: Eukaryota; Fungi; Basidiomycota; Agaricomycetes; Agaricales; Mycenaceae. The record is from the annotation of a GenBank genome assembly.